RNAcentral lists this long non-coding RNA (252 nucleotides) under Cyanistes caeruleus (blue tit). Its description in RNAcentral is "lncRNA (ENSCCEG00000001043.1)". The record is from RNAcentral. Lineage: Eukaryota; Metazoa; Chordata; Aves; Passeriformes; Paridae.
CAUGUAAAUAAUACCCCUACUUAAUUUUUUCAGUGGAAAAAAGAACAUAAGGACAUGAUAUAAAAGGUACUCUUCUGAAAGAUGACAGUGAGUGGGAGGAGAACCAAAGAGAAUCACCUUUCUCCAGCUUUUGCUGUGGGGCCAGGCACGCAAGUCCUCAAAGACCGCAAGACCAUGAUCAUCAGUAUCAGACCUGUGCAUUGCCAGAUUGCAGCAGGACAUGCCUGUUCCCCCUCAUCCUGUAUCUGCUGA